AAUGGGGGCAACCCUGAUCCAGCCAUGCCGCGUGUGUGAAGAAGGCCUUCGGGUUGUAAAGCACUUUAAGCGAGGAGGAAGGUUUUUAGUUUAAUACACUAAAGAAUUGACGUUACUCGCAGAAUAAGCACCGGCUAACUCUGUGCCAGCAGCCGCGGUAAUACAGAGGGUGCAAGCGUUAAUCGGAAUUACUGGGCGUAAAGCGCGCGUAGGCGGUUUGUUAAGUCGGAUGUGAAAUCCCUGGGCUCAACCUAGGCACUGCAUCCGAUACUGGCUAACUAGAGUGUGGGAGAGGAAGGUAGAAUUCCAGGUGUAGCGGUGAAAUGCGUAGAGAUCUGGAGGAAUACCGAUGGCGAAGGCAGCCUUCUGGCCUAACACUGACGCUGAGGUGCGAAAGCAUGGGGAGCAAA
RNAcentral lists this ribosomal RNA (410 nucleotides) under uncultured bacterium. Its description in RNAcentral is "bacterial SSU rRNA". It matches the Rfam family "Bacterial small subunit ribosomal RNA", at positions 370 to 772 of the family's 1533-position model. The record is from RNAcentral.